GUUGACCCAGCCUGAGGCUGUCCUUGGCUACACGCCCCACCCCGGCCUCGCUGGGUUCUGUGCUUUCUCGAACCUGGACUGCGGGUCCUACCGUUUUCUGUCUAGCGCGCCAUUCACCAGGUGGUUUCGAAACAGAGGCAAUGAAUGGAGAAAUCUCCCUAAGGUCAGCAUUCUAAUUAAUUGCCUCACUGUGGCUGCUAUAGUAUUACAACUCUUGGAAUAUACAGCAUCGAUUCUACUAUCAAAUUUGGCGUGUGCCAGCACGGCGGAC
This 271-nucleotide long non-coding RNA is filed under the name Heterocephalus glaber (naked mole-rat). RNAcentral describes it as "lncRNA (ENSHGLG00100045498.1)". The record is from RNAcentral. Lineage: Eukaryota; Metazoa; Chordata; Mammalia; Rodentia; Bathyergidae.